RNAcentral lists this ribosomal RNA (420 nucleotides) under Triticum aestivum (bread wheat). Its description in RNAcentral is "partial small subunit ribosomal RNA". Lineage: Eukaryota; Viridiplantae; Streptophyta; Magnoliopsida; Poales; Poaceae. The record is from RNAcentral.
AUGAUUUUUUUUCUAAAAUAUUUGAGAAUUAUUGGCACUGAGAACACAUCAGGGGGAGCAGCCACCUGGCCACGAGGGUGCAGGGCGCACCCACCCUUUGGGCACGCCCCCUGCCUCAUGGGCCCCUCGUGGCCCCCUCCACUUAUUCUUGAACCCACACACUUCGUCUUCUUCCAGAAAAAUCAUCCACCAGCUCAAACCCGAGUUCUAACUCAUCUUGCUGCCAUUUUCGAUCUCCUUGCUCAAAGCUCCAUUCACAAAACUGCUUUGGGGGAUUGUUCUUCGGUAUGUGACUCCUUCAAUGGUCCAAUUAGUUUUUGUUCUAGUGCUUUAUUUAUUGCAAAUUUUUGCUGCUUAGGUGACCCUGUUCUUGAGCUUGCAUGUCACAUUUAUAUGGUCCCAAGUAGUUCUAAUGCAUGA